Molecule: transfer RNA, 61 nt
Filed under: Salina celebensis
Lineage: Eukaryota; Metazoa; Arthropoda; Collembola; Entomobryomorpha; Paronellidae
Description: tRNA-Cys
Source: RNAcentral
GCAAAUAUAGUCAUUUAUGAUUUAAGACUGCAAAUUUUAAGGUGGGGGUUCCCUUUUUGCU